Molecule: long non-coding RNA, 520 nt
Organism: Cygnus olor (mute swan)
Lineage: Eukaryota; Metazoa; Chordata; Aves; Anseriformes; Anatidae
Exons: 2
Source: RefSeq, a predicted model, not a curated record
ACCCACCAACAGCACUGGCGCAAGGCAUCAGAGUUGAGCCUGAGAAGAACAAUGUCCAGGCCACUGACAGAUGCCCACCAACAAUGUCAGUGAGGACCAUCGAGGUGCGAAAUAAGAUGAUUCAUGUCCAGGUCAUGAGCAGACGCCCACUCAUAAAAGAAAAUGGGGGCAGACCAUCAAGGGACAGCCUGAGAAGGAUGAUGUUCAGCCGUGGAUGGAGUUGAGAGGAGUGACUGUGGACUUACCACAGAGUUACAAAUCUUCAGCCAGAAGAAUGUUAGCUGCUGACGGGAGGAUUUUGCCUGGGAGCGCUGGGUGGCUGCAGUCGUGCAGACAGAAUCCUGUCGUACCAUCUAGUGGCCUGCUGGGAUAGCGCACCCUGUGGAAAUUGCCCUUCCUCUGAAUGAAGCAGUUAUUGUUGAUACGUUUAUUUUUUAAUUAUUGGAAUUAAAAUUGUGAAUUAUUUAAUUGUUAAAAUUAAACCUGUGAAACUUUUAAUUAUUAAAAUUACUUGUGAAAC